GAUGAAGAACGUAGCGAAAUGCGAAAAGUAAUGCGAAUUGCAGAAUUCAGCGAGUCAUCGAGUUUUUGAACGCACAUUGCGCCCGCCGGUAUUCCGGCGGGCAUGCCUGUCCGAGCGUCAUUGCUGCCCUCAAGCACGGCUUGUGUGUUGGGCCUCCGUCCUCCUCCCGGGGGACGGGCCCGAAAGGCAGCGGCGGCACCGCGUCCGGUCCUCGAGCGUAUGGGGCUUCGUCACCCGCUCUUGUAGGCCCGGCCGGCGCUUGCCGACACAUCAAUCUUUUUUCCAGGUUGACCUCGGAUCAGGUAGGGAUACCCGCUGAACUUAAGCAUAUCAAUAAGCGGAGGA
RNAcentral lists this unclassified non-coding RNA (345 nucleotides) under soil metagenome. Its description in RNAcentral is "partial contains 5.8S ribosomal RNA, internal transcribed spacer 2, and large subunit ribosomal RNA". The stretch from base 1 to 120 matches the Rfam family "5.8S ribosomal RNA", at positions 35 to 154 of the family's 154-position model. The record is from RNAcentral.